AUCUUUAGGAACCUUAUCCGCGAUGCUAUCCGCCUAUCUAUAAAGCCAAAGCAAGCAGCGCCGCUCCAUGGAACAGUUGUUAUGGUCUAACAGUCAUUGCUUUGAGGUGAGCAAUAUGGUAGCUUGCAUUGGAGACUAGAAAUCGGUUCUCUGAUAUCCCUCUCUCAGAAGAUUUGUUUACUGGAAGAGAGCAUAAAGUUCAAGUGUCUCAAAUGUAUCAGACUUACCAGAAAAAAAAGUGUCAAAUGUAUCAGUCCAGCGCUGCAAACUUGAAAGCUUUGAUUAUGGAGGGAUAUAUGUGUAUAUAUGUCCAAGUUGUAUUACCUGAUGCUAGGGGGUGAAGUGCAAGCACACUCAGUUAGCUUUCUCUGCUUAUAUCACCCAAAACAGAGAUUGGUCUCUUAUACGUAAUUUGUUAUUGGUGUGAAAUUUGAUUUUUUUUUUUGGGUUGUAUGUGAUGAAUCUCAACAAAUUGUUGUACCAAAAUGGAAGCUUAAAUCUAGAGCGAAUGUGUAAAAAGGAGUUGCUGUCAUGAGCUCUUUCCCUUGGUUUGAAUUGUUUCUGUAUAUUUUCCACUCA
This is a long non-coding RNA of Rhododendron vialii, 579 nucleotides long. RefSeq lists it as uncharacterized. Lineage: Eukaryota; Viridiplantae; Streptophyta; Magnoliopsida; Ericales; Ericaceae. The record is from RefSeq and is a predicted model, not a curated record. The transcript has 2 exons.